Molecule: small nuclear RNA, 107 nt
Filed under: Dasypus novemcinctus (nine-banded armadillo)
Lineage: Eukaryota; Metazoa; Chordata; Mammalia; Cingulata; Dasypodidae
Source: RNAcentral
GUGCUCACUUCGGCAGCACAUAUACUAAAACUGGAAUGAUACAGAGAAGAUCAGCAUGGCCCCUGAGUAAGGAUGACUUGGAAAUUCAUGAAGAGUUCCCUAUUAAA